GAGGGCAGUUAAUGAAUAUACUUGCGCGCUUUUACUCUUAGGCAAAUCACUAAUCAUUCAAAAGGCUUAUUAGUGUUGAUUUUGUAACGUUAUUGGGAUACACAAGAACUAGCAAUACCACAUAAAAAAGAGUCUAGAACUGGGCAUUUUUAAAUCUGGAUAGUUGUUGUAGUGCCUGAUUAUGACAACAACAAGAAAAAAAAUAGCAGAAUAAUUGUUUGCAGGGAUACAUAGAUCUUUCUUCUAUCAUGGUUAUCAAGAUAGGAUUUUUUAACGUACACUAUAUAGUACAAAAGGUUGUUUAUCAUAUACUGCAAAUCAUUAGUUUUACGUCAGUCUAUUACAUCAGAGUAGAUGUCUCUAUCUUAUCUUGAUUGAUAGGAAGUCCACAUAUUGAACCUUCAAGAUGGUUUGAAAUGGACCUGGACAAUGUGAAUUGGGGCCAGUAUCUAAACACUCUGUUUUGGAACCUCAACUAUUGGGAUUCAAUCAUUACGCUGGCUGGAGAGGUUGAGAAUCCGAAGAUAACUCCUUCCUACAUGUUUUUGGUGACAGUUUGCUUGAUACAAUAGAUGGAUGUUAUGUUUAGAUAUGUUGUGCUCGAUGGAUCAGUCUUCUUGCUUUGUUUAUUCAUGCUUUUUAGGAGAAUAUUUAGCCAUGUUGAUAUGUUUGUCCCCUGUAUGUUUAGAUAUGUUGCCUCGAUGGACCUGGUUAUAAUAAUAUAAUUGAUUUUCUAUAAUUGUUGUUGUGGGUUUGUCAAGCAUUAAUUGGGUGGAUGGGAGCAGCAGCGGCGGUGUUGUGUUCUCUUUCAUGAAACUGACCCCACUUUCUCGUUCUUAUUACCUUGUGCGAUUUGAUUCCUCACUUUUCCUUUCUUCUGUUUCCUUUCCUCUUGCAGGAUUGACGGGGCUGCUCUCAUUUUUCGGUUUGCUACUGCUCCUUGCAUUCUAUGCUGCUCAUUGUUGUCAUAAGAACGUGAGGUGUUCUUCGUUGGUUCUUGGGUCCUCCAUGCCGUUAGCCUUCAAGCGGCCCAUUCCCCUGUCGUGCCUGGACUAGCUAGAUCGAUUUUGAAGCUUGUCUAUUCUGCCUUUGACAUUCCCUGGAUUUCUGCUUGGAUGUGUUGUGGUGAUUAUUUGACGGGUGGUCUAUGACUCUAGGAUGAGCCCAUUUAUUUUAGCACAUGCAUUACAAUUUGUCUAUUGUACCGUCGACUUCCUUUCCCAUAUUUCUACUUUUAUGUGCUCUCAUCAGUUAUGUUUUGUCUGUUUUUGGCUGACCCAAUGCAUUUUAAUUCACCUAUAUGUACUACCAUUGGUUGUCUUAUAUACAUUUUCAUGUGUUUUAUCUGUCUGAUCAGUUCUUCCUAUGUUCUUUCUGUUUGUGUUGCAGAUGAUGCCACUCUUCCACCAUCUUGUCGGCUCACAUGCUGUUAUUCUUGCUGCCAAGGUUUGUGCUUCCUCUUUCGGUUCUAUUUUCUUUUGCUCCUGUGAAGUAUAAUGAUUUGUUGCAGUUAAGUUUGUCAGUUCCCGUUAUGUGUUUGGGGUAACUGUCUACAGUUCAGUUUAUCUGUUCUUCUGGUGCAUCUUGUUCUAAACUUCUGGUAGGAUGUGCUCCUAUCACCUGAAGUAUCAAAAUCUUGUUAAGCGUUGGUCUGAUGUUUUAUAUAUAUUCAGCACCAAGGGAGAUGUAGAAAUGCAAGAACAGAACCUUUGCGAGGUAAUUCAGUCAGCUAUAUGCAUGUAUGUUUUCUGCUAUAGCGAGAUCAUUUAUUUUAUUUAGAAAAUAGAACAUGAAGUGUGAUUACAAGAAUCUACUACUGUUAGCAUGAACAGGCUUUGUAAUGUACCUACUGAAUAAUAGCAUAAUUGAAUCCUUCCUAAGCAACGUCCGUCAACCGAGACUUCACAUGCUUUGUUUUACUUUACGAAGAGUAGUAUGUGGUGCUCCAAUAUUCAACUGUGUUCUUGAAUUAGGAAUUAUGUUUUUUAUAGUUAAAGUGCUUGUCUAUUGAUCUGGUGUAUAUAAGUGAAAGAAAACAAAAACAGACGGGGGAUGGGAGCUUCUUGCUUUUGUUUUCCUUUUGUUUCUAUUUGAUAAUUACUCUCUACUCUGAUGCUUCAGUGUUUUUUUAAUAUCCCGUGUUAUAUUUUUUUGGUGCUACUUGGGCUUUCUGAGGUCCUUUUUGUUUUCAUUAAGAACAAAAUAGAGUUACUUAAUUUUAGAUUUGAAUGUUAGACACAGAGCUAUGAGUCAAUGUACUGGUUUGACAAGUUGUAUUGUCAUAUUCACCUGUGCUUUGGAAAUUAAAAAGAAUUACUUUGUUUUAGGUUUGAAUGUCAAGAAAAAAAUAGAAUGGGGUAAGGGAGCUCGCAAUACAGAUUCUAAUUGUUACUUGGUGUUCUGAUCCUUGUGUCUGCUCUUGUACUCCCUCUGUUCACUUUUAUAAGACGUUUCAGACAGCUGAAAUUGAAUUGUUUUGAGUCUUGUCUUAAAUGUCUAAAUGGUCUUACAAAAGUGAACGGAGGGAGUAAUAAUCUUUUGUGGGUGCCUUCACAUGUAAUCUAUUGCCUCUCUGUCACGUUUUGCUACAAAAUUAUGUCUCGACCAUAUGUAUUUACAUUACUCCUGUCAGCUUCUGAUAUUUAAAUUAUGAUAGGACAAUGCCUCUCUAGCUGUAACUGUGAUACUCUUGAUGUGCAAGUAAACACUACUAGGAUAACUAAAAAAAUCAUGAAAUGCGAGCAAUUCUCGAUUUAAAUAGUGUGACCUUACAUAAUAGGAGCUAAUCAUUGUAUCGUGUUCAAAAUGGGUACUAGAAAAGAUGAUUGAAUAGCAAGUCCUGUAGAGUUACUACCAUAAAGUUUAUUUCUAACUGCAUGAUCUGAACUGCAUAUUCUGAAAGUAUAUUGCACCCCUGCCCUUGGGAAAUUAGACUGCCAUAGCAAUACUUUUGUAAAUAAAUGACAUUCGAACUUGAUGGUUCAGUUUAAAGCUGCAGGCAGAGGCUUGCGGUAGGGAGGAAAUCGUUAUGCCAGUUGAAAACCAAGCCGUUUAUUUGUGGGUGCAUGAUCUAGACUGUGCUUCUCUGAAAGUAUGCUCUUGGGAGAUUUAGCUAUUGUGGUUUUGCUUGGUAAACGGCUUGGUUGUUAAACAAAUGACAUGCUAAAAUGUUGGUUGUUAGAGCCUCCCUGUUCUUCUAAAAAUAGUUCGGUUGUUAGUACAGAGGUGUGACACUAUUUGGUCCUCUGGUAUUGAUUCGUGAUUUGUGCUUAAUACAUGAUGUUGGUAUCUGAUCACUUUAUUGCUCAUGCCUCACUUGAUGUUGCAUGGUGUACAGGUGAAGUGCCAAUGGAGUGGCAUAUCGUACUUCGCUACUACCUACACAUGCGAUUCCAUUUGAUUUCACUUUGAUUUUUUUUCUGCUGAUCGUUUCUAGGUGGUUGUUGAUGAAUCAUGUGAGGAUGGUGCAGAACUCACAAGAGGGAGAAGACCGAACUGCGGUAACCAAAUCAAAUAGCUGAUAAGGUUCACUUGGAAGUGGUUGAGGUAGCCUGACCUGGUGAGGAUCCACCUAACGAACUGACCUGGUGACGCGAUGUGUACAUUGGAGGAAUUAGAUCUUGUGCGUGCGGGAGUGGAUCUUGCAAUUGAAGUCGUCUCUCCGAUGCAGAGGAGCAGCGGCGAUGCAGUGGAAACUACAGGGUGAGUGAGAGAUUGGAGGAGGGGAUGGUCAUGAAGUGAGUAAGUGGAUUAACAUCGCUUGGUCAAGUAACUUUGGCUGGCCCAUUAUUGUGAAUUUGUCAUUUGUCUCUUGUAAGCCCACAACACGGUUUAAAUAUGUAUUGGGAGUUUGGGACAAUUAAAUCAGAUAAAUGAAAGAAAUUAUAGCGCUUAUAACGGUUUAUAAAAUGAA
RNA transcript from Triticum dicoccoides, 3913 nucleotides. RefSeq lists it as uncharacterized. NCBI's taxonomy places the organism in Eukaryota, Viridiplantae, Streptophyta, Magnoliopsida, Poales, Poaceae. The record is from RefSeq and is a predicted model, not a curated record. The transcript has 4 exons.